Long non-coding RNA from Cyprinus carpio (common carp), 549 nucleotides. RefSeq lists it as uncharacterized. Lineage: Eukaryota; Metazoa; Chordata; Actinopteri; Cypriniformes; Cyprinidae. The record is from RefSeq and is a predicted model, not a curated record. The transcript has 2 exons.
AUGCUUCUUCUAUCUAACGUCUAACUUAAAGGUGCAUUGCUGCCACCUACAGUACUGGAGUGUGAAAUAGAUUAGUGGGGGGAAAAAACAGGUGAUGACUGCGUGCGUGGCGGGUGAUGGGCCGGCCCGCCGGCCGUCCUGGAGUACCGGCCAUUCUGUGAUUCUCCAGAUCACACAGAUGACCAGUCAGCCCCUGACCCUUCCUCACCGUGGAUGAAGCAGAGUCCCACCUGUUGCUGCUUUCUCGAGCUGGCCUCCCGUCAUUCAAGCCUUCCGUGUGUGACACUGUGUUUCGUUGUAAAAGUUGUCUGAAAGCCUAUUUGUUCAGCGCUGAAGUUUUCUAAGCGCGUGAACGCUCCAUCACGUGAACUGCGCCUGGACAGGAAAAUGCAGCGUGCUGCUCAGUUGUUCGCGCUCAGGGAUGACGAGAGAAGACUCAGAGACCCUUUUCUUUACUUUCGUGUGCGUUUAUGAAAAGCAAACCACAUACACACUUAUACAAACUUGUAUAUUGGCAUCCUGAUCUUGAAAAUAAAGCUGAUAAAGGAU